Molecule: ribosomal RNA, 449 nt
Filed under: uncultured bacterium
Lineage: Bacteria
Description: bacterial SSU rRNA
Rfam family: Bacterial small subunit ribosomal RNA
Source: RNAcentral
GUGGGGAAUCUUGCGCAAUGGGCGAAAGCCUGACGCAGCGACGCCGCGUGCGGGAAGAAGGCCUUCGGGUUGUAAACCGCUUUCAGGAGGGACGAAGCCACUCGGGUUAAUAGCCCAGAGGGUGACGGUACCUCCAGAAGAAGCCCCGGCUAACUACGUGCCAGCAGCCGCGGUAAUACGUAGGGGGCUAGCGUUGUCCGGAUUUAUUGGGCGUAAAGAGCGUGUAGGCGGCCAGAUAGGUCUGCUGUGAAAACUCGAGGCUCAACCUCGAGCUGUCGGCGGAAACCAUUUGGCUAGAGUCCGGAAGAGGAAAGUGGAAUUCCUGGUGUAGCGGUGAAAUGCGCAGAUAUCAGGAAGAACACCCGUGGCGAAGGCGGCUUUCUGGGACGGUACUGACGCUGAGACGCGAAAGCGUGGGGAGCGAACAGGAUUAGAAACCCUAGUAGUCC